Molecule: ribosomal RNA, 468 nt
Filed under: uncultured bacterium
Lineage: Bacteria
Description: partial 16S ribosomal RNA
Rfam family: Bacterial small subunit ribosomal RNA
Source: RNAcentral
GACGAACGCUGGCGGCGUGCCUAACACAAGCAAGUCGAACGGAAAGGCCCUGCUUUUGUGGGGUGCUCGAGUGGCGAACGGAUGAGUAACACGUGAGUAACCUGCCUUUGACUUUGGGAUAACUUCAGGAAACUGGGGCUAAUACCGGCUAGGAGCUCCUGCUGCAUGGUGGGGGUAGGAAAGUUUCGGCGGUUGGGGACGGACUCGCGGCUUAUCAGCUUGUUGGUGGGGUAGUGGCUUACUAAGGCUUUGACGGGUAGCCGGCCUGAGGGGGUGACCGGCCACAUUGGGACUGAGAUACGGCCCAGACUCCUUCGGGAGGCAGCAGUGGGGAAUAUUGCACAAUGGGCGGAAGCCUGAUGCAGCAACGCCGCGUGCGGGAUGACGGCCUUCGGGUUGUAAACCGCUUUCGCCUGUGACGAAGCGUGAGUGACGGUAAUGGGUAAAGAAGCACCGGCUAACUACGUG